This 347-nucleotide unclassified non-coding RNA is filed under the name uncultured Mortierella. RNAcentral's name for it is "sequence contains ITS2". Lineage: Eukaryota; Fungi; Mortierellomycota; Mortierellomycetes; Mortierellales; Mortierellaceae. The record is from RNAcentral.
AACGCACAUUGCGCUCUCUGGUAUUCCGGAGAGCAUGCUUGUUUGAGUAUCAGUAAACACCUCAAUUUCAUGAUUUUAUGUCUUGAAAUUGGACUUGAGCAUAUCCCAACGUGUAAUUUAAUUAUAUGGAGGGUUGCUUCAAAUGCAGGUGCAGCCGAUCAUUCUUCUGGGCUAAAAGCAUUAUCUAGUUAGUCCCGUAAAACGGAUUAUUCAUUUUAUUGCUGCAGCUUACCUUAUGAAAGGAAGACAUGGCCAUUGUGCUGACUGAUGCAGGAUUUCUCAGAGGGUCUGCAAAGACUUUUUGAAAACUCGAUCUCAAAUCAAGUAAGACUACCCGCUGAACUUAA